RNAcentral lists this ribosomal RNA (1028 nucleotides) under Bloxamia cyatheicola. Its description in RNAcentral is "SSU rRNA". It matches the Rfam family "Eukaryotic small subunit ribosomal RNA", at positions 73 to 1109 of the family's 1831-position model. Lineage: Eukaryota; Fungi; Ascomycota; Leotiomycetes; Helotiales; Bloxamiaceae. The record is from RNAcentral.
UUUAUACCGUGAAACUGCGAAUGGCUCAUUAAAUCAGUUAUAGUUUAUUUGAUAGUACCUUACUACUUGGAUAACCGUGGUAAUUCUAGAGCUAAUACAUGCUAAAAAUCCCGACUUUGGAAGGGGUGUAUUUAUUAGAUAAAAAACCAAUGCCCUUCGGGGCUCCCUGGUGACUCAUAAUAACUAAACGAAUCGCAUGGCCUUGUGCCGGCGAUGGUUCAUUCAAAUUUCUGCCCUAUCAACUUUCGAUGGUAGAUUAUUGGUCUACCAUGGUUUCGACGGGUAACGGGGAAUUAGGGUUCUAUUCCGGAGAGGCAGCCUGAGAAACGGCUACCACAUCCAAGGAAGGCAGCAGGCGCGCAAAUUACCCAAUGCUGACACAGCGAGGUAGUGACAAUAAAUACUGAUACAGGGCUCUUUUGGGUCUUGUAAUUGGAAUGAGUACAAUUUAAAUCCCUUAACGAGGAACAAUUGGAGGGCAAGUCUGGUGCCAGCAGCCGCGGUAAUUCCAGCUCCAAUAGCGUAUAUUAAAGUUGUUGCAGUUAAAAAGCUCGUAGUUGAACCUUGGGCCUGGCUGGCUGGUCCGCCUCACCGCGUGCACUGGUCCGGCCGGGCCUUUCUUCCUGGGGAACCGCAUGCCCUUCACUGGGUGUGUCGUGGAUCCAGGACUUUUACUUUGAAAAAAUUAAAGUGUUCAAAGCAGGCCUAUGCUCGAAUACAUUAGCAUGGAAUGAUAAAAUAAGACGUACUGUUCUAUUUUGUUGGUUUCUAGGACAGCCGUAAUGAUUAAUAGGCUCGGUCGGGGGUGUCAGUAUUAUGUUGUCAGAGGUGAAAUUCUUGGAUUUACAUAAGACUAACUACUGCGAAAGCAUUCAUCAAGGACGUUUUCAUUAAUCAGUGAACGAAAGUUAGGGGAUCGAAGACGAUCAGAUACCGUCGUAGUCUUAACCAUAAACUAUGCCGACUAGGGAUCGGGCGAUGUUAUCUUUUUGACUCGCUCGGCACCUUACGAGAAAUCAAAGUCUUUG